Long non-coding RNA from Dreissena polymorpha, 2592 nucleotides. RefSeq lists it as uncharacterized. NCBI's taxonomy places the organism in Eukaryota, Metazoa, Mollusca, Bivalvia, Myida, Dreissenidae. The transcript has 12 exons. The record is from RefSeq and is a predicted model, not a curated record.
UUUCAGGAAGAGGAAUGUCUGCGACUAAGUCAAGGGCCACUGGAUAAGGGUUGUUGAUGGCAAAACAGGUUGGAGACUACAUAAGACUUUGACAGUUGGCGGGAAACCAUCAUCAACUGGAGAGAUGCCGGAAGAGGAAUGUCUGCGACUAAGUCAAGGGCCACUGGAUAAGGGUUGUUGAUGGCAAAACAGGUUGGAGACUACAUAAGACUUUGACAGUUGGCGGGAAACCAUCAUCAACUGGAGAGAUGCCGGAAGAGGAAUGUCUGCGACUAAGUCAAGGGCCACUGGAUAAGGGUUGUUGAUGGCAAAACAGGUUGGAGACUACAUAAGACUUUGACAGUUGGCGGGAAACCAUCAUCAACUGGAGAGAUGCCGGAAGAGGAAUGUCUGCGACUAAGUCAAGGGCCACUGGAUAAGGGUUGUUGAUGGCAAAACAGGUUGGAGACUACAUAAGACUUUGACAGUUGGCGGGAAACCAUCAUCAACUGGAGAGAUGCCGGAAGAGGAAUGUCUGCGACUAAGUCAAGGGCCACUGGAUAAGGGUUGUUGAUGGCAAAACAGGUUGGAGACUACAUAAGACUUUGACAGUUGGCGGGAAACCAUCAUCAACUGGAGAGAUGCCGGUAAAAAGAUGGCCAUAAAACAGUGACCGCUGAUUCGCAUUGAGUUCUUUCUUACAUAUUGGAUGACCUAUGUUUUUUAUUGUUUAAAUCAUUGCGGCUUGGAAUGCUCUUUAAGAAAAGGAAGAGGAAUGUCUGCGACUAAGUCAAGGGCCACUGGAUAAGGGUUGUUGAUGGCAAAACAGGUUGGAGACUACAUAAGACUUUGACAGUUGGCGGGAAACCAUCAUCAACUGGAGAGAUGCCGGUAAAAAGAUGGCCAUAAAACAGUGACCGCUGAUUCGCAUUGAGUUCUUUCUUACAUAUUGGAUGACCUAUGUUUUUUAUUGUUUAAAUCAUUGCGGCUUGGAAUGCUCUUUAAGAAAAGGUAUGGUUAUGGGGGUGUCUACGCGCAAAAGUUUGACUUUAUUUUUUGUUAAAGUUAUUGCUUUUACAUUGAAUUUGUGCAGGAAAUCUUUUGGUAUGUUGUGACCUGUAAUCUAGAGUCCGUGCAAAAUGGUAGUGUUUUUUAAUUCGAACUUAUAGUUGUGCUUUACUUGAAAAGUGUGAAGACACUAGUGUAAAUUGUGGAACGAAUUAAAUUCAUGUUUUAAUAUAUUGUAAACUUUAUUAACAAUAAUGUGUAAUACUUAUGUCAAAAUGUUUUUGUUGUUUGGUCAACAGAUAUACUUUCUUUUUUUAUUAAGAUGCAGGGGUGUGAUUUUUCCGCGGAUCCGCGGAUUGCCGCGGAUCGGGUUGUUUCGGAGGUCAUUUCUGAGAUUCGCGUAAAUUUGUAAAAAAAAAUGGGGGGGGGGAGAGGGGGGUACAUCCGAUUCCGCGGACGUCUUUUAUGUGCGGCCCGAAAUAUCCGCGGCUCGCGAAAUCACUCCGCAUAGUACACUGGUAGAUUCUGCCUAAGCAAUUUGAAACGAGCGAUGUCAUUGGCUGUUGUUUUCCAAUCUACCAAUUAAACUGGUCCUUUUUAAUGCGUUCGGUAUUUCUUUUCUGAUUUGUCUGCAAAUGGCGCAGUUGCAAAGCGAAAAUUAAGUUUAUCCAAAUGACAAAUAUCAAUCGAAUUAGCGACUGUCAUCAUAUAGUUAGAUAGGAUAUAUGAAAUGUGUCUGUCAUCGAUGAAGACUGCGUUUUAGAAACAAGCAACACAUAUUUUUUUUCAAAUGUGCGCAGUGAAUUUGUGUCUCGAAAACCAGUGUUUGCAAAUUGGAGUUCACUUAGUUCUGGCUACCAUAACUUUAAAUGUCGCUUUUAAUGAUUUUUGACUGGCGCGACUUUAUACAGGUCUGUCAAUACUAUAUAAACUGUACGCUGAAGUUUCUUUAGCUAGAGUUCACUCUACUUGCGAGGUAAAACAAUUUAGAAGAGUAUCGUUUGAAAAUGGAAAUAGACAAACAUGAUUUGAUUUAUAUGUUAGUGGAUCUGUGUGUAAUCAGAUUCAUAUGCAUAUUCUGCUUUAUUAUGUUUGUCACACUGUUCAGUUAACUGAAAUAGCAUUGAACUGUAGAUGUGAAAUGCAAGAUUUUAAAACAAAAGGUAAACACAUUAAAAUUUAUUAACUUUACUCAGUUUAAUACAUCAUUAACUCAACAAGAACACUCAAGUGUGUUUGUUUAUAUUUAUUAAUGUUUUCCCCAUUUGAUAUUUAAUUAAAUAAGUCCAUUUACUGUGAAUACAUUGAACAACUGCUGUUUUUGAUCACAGUAAAUAUUGUUUACUUUGCAUCCCCAGUAUGUGAAAUGUGAAGUUAAACAGGUUUUCAUUAAGAAAUAGUGUUAUGAUGUUCAAGAAAUUGUUUAUUUUAAUGUAUGUUUUAUUUUAAUGUCUGUUUUAAGGUUUGUCAUUGCGUUAUUCACGUAGUCAAAAUCAGUCGACAGAAUUUUCCUCCCCUCUGACUUCGCCUCAAUCACACCCCUGAGAUGUUAGUAAAGUUAUAGCCCUUUGAUGGUCUAUACUCUAUUGUCCUUUAAUAAGUUUG